UCUCCGUAGGUGAACCCGCGGAGGGAUCAUUACAAGUGACCCCGGUCUUACCACCGGGAUGUUCAUAACCCUUUGUUGUCCGACUCUGUUGCCUCCGGGGCGACCCUGCCUUCGGGCGGGGGCUCCGGGUGGACACUUCAAACUCUUGCGUAACUUUGCAGUCUGAGUGAACUUAAUUAAUAAAUUAAAACUUUUAACAACGGAUCUCUUGGUUCUG
RNAcentral lists this unclassified non-coding RNA (217 nucleotides) under plant metagenome. RNAcentral describes it as "partial contains small subunit ribosomal RNA, internal transcribed spacer 1, and 5.8S ribosomal RNA". The record is from RNAcentral.